Etheostoma spectabile (orangethroat darter) is the source of this 107-nucleotide long non-coding RNA. RefSeq lists it as uncharacterized. Lineage: Eukaryota; Metazoa; Chordata; Actinopteri; Perciformes; Percidae. The transcript has 3 exons. The record is from RefSeq and is a predicted model, not a curated record.
CUCUGCUUUUGGUCUCCUGAGGGACAUAUCUGGCUCUUCAGCUUAUAAAUGCUCCCCGAUGUUCACCAGCUAGUCGCUAACUUUGACCGUGAGCCGCAUGAUGCUAA